Molecule: ribosomal RNA, 495 nt
Filed under: uncultured bacterium
Lineage: Bacteria
Description: bacterial SSU rRNA
Rfam family: Bacterial small subunit ribosomal RNA
Source: RNAcentral
GAUCAUGGCUCAGAUUGAACGCUGGCGGCAUGCUUUACACAUGCAAGUCGAACGGUAACAGGCCGCAAGGUGCUGACGAGUGGCGAACGGGUGAGUAAUGCAUCGGAACGUGCCCAGUCGUGGGGGAUAACGCAGCGAAAGCUGCGCUAAUACCGCAUACGAUCUAUGGAUGAAAGCGGGGGACCGUAAGGCCUCGCGCGAUUGGAGCGGCCGAUGUCAGAUUAGGUAGUUGGUGGGGUAAAGGCCUACCAAGGCUACGAUCUGUAGUUGGUCUGAGAGGACGACCAGCCACACUGGGACUGAGACACGGCCCAGACUCCUACGGGAGGCAGCAGUGGGGAAUUUUGGACAAUGGGCGCAAGCCUGAUCCAGCAAUGCCGCGUGCAGGAAGAAGGCCUUCGGGUUGUAAAGCUCUUUCGGACGGAAAGAAAUCGCCCGGGUAAAUAAUCCGGGUGGAUGACGGUACCGUAAGAAGAAGCACCGGCUAACUACGUG